ACUGACUGCUAUCGGAUUGAUACUAAGCCAUGCGAGUCAUUGUAGCAAUACAAGGCAUACGGCUCAGUAACGCGUAGUCAACCUAACCUAUGGACGGGAAUAACCUCGGGAAACUGAGAAUAAUGCCCGAUAGAACAUUAUGCCUGGAAUGGUUUAUGUUCCAAAUGAUUUAUCGCCGUAGGAUGGGACUGCGGCCUAUCAGUUUGUUGGUGAGGUAAUGGCCCACCAAGACUAUUACAGGUACGGGCUCUGAGAGGAGUAGCCCGGAGAUGGGUACUGAGACACGGACCCAGGCCCUAUGGGGCGCAGCAGGCGAGAAAACUUUGCAAUGUGCGAAAGCACGACAAGGUUAAUCCGAGUGAUUUGUGCUAAACGAAUCUUUUGUUAGUCCUAGAAACACUAACGAAUAAGGGGUGGGCAAGUUCUGGUGUCAGCCGCCGCGGUAAAACCAGCACCUCAAGUGGUCAGGAUGAUUAUUGGGCCUAAAGCAUCCGUAGCCGGCUCUGUAAGUUUUCGGUUAAAUCCAUGCGCUCAACGUAUGGGCUGCCGAAAAUACUGCAGAGAUAGGGAGUGGGAGAGGUAGACGGUACUCGGUAGGAAGGGGUAAAAUCCUUUGAUCUAUCGAUGACCACCUGUGGCGAAGGCGGUCUACCAGAACACGUUCGACGGUGAGGGAUGAAAGCUGGGGGAGCAAACCGGAUUAGAUACCCGGGUAGUCCCAGCUGUAAACGAUGCAGACUCGAUGAUGCAUUGGCAUAUAGCCAGUGCAGUGUCGCAGGGAAGCCGUUAAGUCUGCCGCCUGGGAAGUACGUACGCAAGUAUGAAACUUAAAGGAAUUGGCGGGGGAGCACCACAAGGGGUGAAGCCUGCGGUUC
RNAcentral lists this ribosomal RNA (875 nucleotides) under uncultured archaeon. RNAcentral describes it as "bacterial SSU rRNA". It matches the Rfam family "Archaeal small subunit ribosomal RNA", at positions 21 to 903 of the family's 1478-position model. The record is from RNAcentral.